Molecule: ribosomal RNA, 497 nt
Filed under: uncultured bacterium
Lineage: Bacteria
Description: partial 16S ribosomal RNA
Rfam family: Bacterial small subunit ribosomal RNA
Source: RNAcentral
GAUGAACGCUGGCGGCGUGCCUAAUACAUGCAAGUCGAGCGAACAGACGAGGAGCUUGCUCCUCUGACGUUAGCGGCGGACGGGUGAGUAACACGUGGAUAACCUACCUAUAAGACUGGGAUAACUUCGGGAAACCGGAGCUAAUACCGGAUAAUAUAUUGAACCGCAUGGUUCAAUAGUGAAAGACGGUUUUGCUGUCACUUAUAGAUGGAUUCGCGCCGCAUUAGCUAGUUGGUAAGGUAACGGCUUACCAAGGCGACGAUGCGUAGCCGACCUGAGAGGGUGAUCGGCCACACUGGAGCUGAGACACGGUCCAGACUCCUACGGGAGGCAGCAGUAGGGAAUCUUCCGCAAUGGGCGAAAGCCUGACGGAGCAACGCCGCGUGAGUGAUGAAGGUCUUCGGAUCGUAAAACUCUGUUAUUAGGGAAGAACAAAUGUGUAAGUAACUAUGCACGUCUUGACGGUACCUAAUCAGAAAGCCACGGCUAACUACGUG